This 588-nucleotide ribosomal RNA is filed under the name uncultured bacterium. RNAcentral describes it as "partial 16S ribosomal RNA". It matches the Rfam family "Bacterial small subunit ribosomal RNA", at positions 355 to 1375 of the family's 1533-position model. The record is from RNAcentral.
UGGGGAAUUUUGGACAAUGGGCGAAAGCCUGAUCCCAGCAAUGCCGCGUGUGUGAAGAAGGCCUUCGGGUUGUAAAGCACUUUUGUCCGGAAAGAAAUCCUUGGCUCUAAUACAGUCGGGGGAUGACGGUACCGGAAGAAUAAGCACCGGCUAACUACGUGCCAGCAGCCGCGGUAAUACGUAGGGUGCAAGCGUUAAUCGGAAUUACUGGGCGUAAAGCGUGCGCAGGCGGUUUGCUAAGACCGAUGUGAAAUCCCCGGGCUCAACCUGGGAACUGCAUUGGUGACUGGCAGGCUAGAGUAUGGCAGAGGGGGGUAGAAUUCCACGUGUAGCAGUGAAAUGCGUAGAGAUGUGGAGGAAUACCGAUGGCGAAGGCAGCCCCCUGGGCCAAUACUGACGCUCAUGCACGAAAAGCGUGGGGGAGCAAACAGGAUUAGAUACCCUGGUAGUCCACGCCCUAAACGAUGUCAACUAGUUGUUGGGGAUUCAUUUCCUUAGUAACGUAGCUAACGCGUGAAGUUGACCGCCUGGGGAGUACGGUCGCAAGAUUAAAACUUAAAUGAAUUGACGGGGUCAUAGCUGUUUCCU